GCACGGAUGGCCGAGUGGUCUAAGGCGCCAGACUCAAGGUGAACCUUGCCGCGAGAUUGCAGCAUGAAAUUUCUGGUACUCGUAAGAGUGCGUGGGUUCAAAUCCCACUCCGUGCA
This is a non-coding RNA of Dictyocaulus viviparus (bovine lungworm), 116 nucleotides long. The record is from Rfam. NCBI's taxonomy places the organism in Eukaryota, Metazoa, Nematoda, Chromadorea, Rhabditida, Metastrongylidae.